GGGAGCAUAGCUCAAUUGGUAGAGCGCUUGCUUUGCACGUAAGAGGUUAUCGGUUCAAGUCCGUUUGUUUCCA
Molecule: transfer RNA, 73 nt
Filed under: Triparma laevis
Lineage: Eukaryota; Bolidophyceae; Parmales; Triparmaceae
Description: tRNA-Ala
Rfam family: tRNA
About the family: Transfer RNA (tRNA) molecules are approximately 80 nucleotides in length. Their secondary structure includes four short double-helical elements and three loops (D, anti-codon, and T loops).
Source: RNAcentral